RNAcentral lists this ribosomal RNA (2792 nucleotides) under Acrosiphonia sp. SAG 127.80. Its description in RNAcentral is "partial 23S ribosomal RNA". It matches the Rfam family "Bacterial large subunit ribosomal RNA". The record is from RNAcentral. Lineage: Eukaryota; Viridiplantae; Chlorophyta; Ulvophyceae; Ulotrichales; Ulotrichaceae.
GGUCAAAUAUAUUAAGGCUUACGACGGAUACCUAGGCAUUCAGAGACGAUGAAGGGCGUGGAUACCGACGAAACGUUUUGGGGAGCUGGAAACAAGCUUUGAUCCGAAAAUUCCCGAAUAGGUCAACCUUUAAAACCGCUUAUUGAAUUCAUAGAUAAGUAGGAGAUAACCUGCCGAACUGAAACAUCUUAGUAAGCAGAGGAAUAGAAAGCAAAAGCGAUUUCCUUAGUAGCGGCGAGCGAAAUGGAAACAGUCUAAACCAGGUUUCAAUUUGAGACUUGGGGUCGUGGGAAGAACACAGAAUCAGAUGAUCUUUGAAAAUGAAGCAGCUGAAUCCUGCACCAUAGAUGGUGAAAGUCCAGUAAUUACAAAAAGAAAUUUUGAAGUUCUAAUCCCGAGUAGCAUGAGGCACGUGAAACCUCGUGUGAAUCAGCGAGGACCACCUCGUAAGACUAAAUACUCCUGAAUGACCGAUAGUGAAACAGUACCGUGAGGGAAAGGUGAAACAGAACCCCUAUAGGGGAGUGAAAUAGAACAUGAAAUCGUAAGCUGACAAUCAGUGGGAGCUUUAGAGUGACCGCGUGCCUGUUGAAGAAUGAGCCGGCGACUUAUAAGCAGUGGCAGGGUUAAGGCAAAUACCGGAGCCAAAGCGAAAGCAAGUCUGAAUAGGGCGUAGUCACUGUUUAUGGACCCGAACCCGAGUGAUCUAACCAUGGCCAGGAUGAAUCUUGGGUAAUACCAAGUGGAAGACCGAACCGACCGAUGUUGAAAAAUCGGCGGAUGAGCUGUGGUUAGCGGUGAAAUACCAGUCGAACUCGGAGCUAGCUGGAUCUCCUCGAAAUGUGUUGCGGCGCAGCGGUUGGUAAUGGGCGAUUUAGGGGUAAAGCACUGUUUCGGGACGGGCUGCGAAAGCGGUACCAACUCGUGGCAAACUAAGAAUACUAAAUUUGCUUUCUACCAACCAGUAAGACAGUGGGGGAUAAGCUUCAUUGUCAAAAGGGAAACAGCCCAGAUCAUCAGCUAAGGCCCCAAAAUGACCGCUAAGUGGCAAAGGAGGUGAGAAUGCAAAGACAAUCAGAAGGUUUGCUUAGAAGCAGCCAUCCUUAAAAGAGUGCGUAAUAGCUCACUGAUAGAGCGUUCUUGCGCCGAAAAUGAACGGGACUAAGCGGUCUGCCGAAGCUAUGGGAUUGAAAAUACAAAGAUUUUGAAUCGGUAGAGGAGCGUUCCGCCCUAGGGUGAAGCUUAGAUGUAAAUCUAGGUGGACGAAGCGGAAGUGAGAAUGUCGGCUUGAGUAACGCAAACAUUGGUGAGAAUCCAAUGCCCCGGAAACCUAAGGGUUCCUUCACAAGGCUCGUCCUUGAAGGGUUAGUCAGGACCUAAGGCGAGGCCGAAAGGCGUAGUCGAUGACAAAUAGGUUAAUAUUCCUAUACUUACUUUUAGUAGAUAACGAGGGACGAAGGCGGCAACGGCUAGUUGACGUAUGGUAUGUCAAUAGAAGUGUUUGAACUGACAAAUAAUUAAAACCAUGGAAUAAAAACCUUGUGUAAUGUUCAGCAUGAUAUGAUCCUAAAGCUGUAUUUUGCACCUUUACGGAUUUAGCCCGAGUCAUACUUCCAAGAAAAGCUUGUAUUAUUGUUAAUAUAAAAGUAACCUGUACCCUAAACCGACACAGGUAGGUAGGUAGAGAAUACUAAGGGGCGCGAGAUAACUCUCUCUAAGGAACUCGGCAAAAUGGCCCCGUAACUUCGGGAGAAGGGGUGCUACUUCUAAUAAAAGUAGUCGCAGUGACCAGGCCCAGGCGACUGUUUAUCAAAAACACAGGUUUCCGCAAAGUCGUAAGACCAUGUAUGGGAGCUGACGCCUGCCCAGUGCCGGAAGGUAAAAGAAGUUGGUUAUUUCAAUAGAAAGAAGCUGACGACUGAAGCCCCGGUGAACGGCGGCUGUAACUCUGACAGUCCUAAGGUAGCGAAAUUCCUUGCCAAGUAAGUUUUGGCCCGCACGAAAGGCGUAACGAUCUGGGCACUGUCUCGGAGAGAGACUCGGUGAAAUAGAAAUGUCUGUGAAGAUGCGGACUACUUGUACCAGGACAGAAAGACCCUAUGAAGCUUGACUGUAGCUUGGAAUUGAAUUCGGGCUCUUUUUUCGCAGGAUAGGUGGGAGGCGUUGAAAUUAAGUUUUCGGACUUAGUGGAGCCAUCAGUGAGAUACCACUAUCAAAGAGCUAGGAUUCUAAUAGGACUCCUUGAAUCAGGAUCCUUGACAGUUUCAGGCGGACAGUUUGUCUGGGGCGGAUGCCUCCUAAAAGGUAACGGAGGCGUGCAAAGGUUCCCUCAGGCUGGACGGAAAUCAGCUGUAGAGUGUAAAGGUAAAAGGGAGCUUGACUGCAAGACCAACAAGUCGAGCAGGGGCGAAAGCCGGCCUUAGUGAUCCGAUGGUACCGAGUGGAAGGGCCAUCGCUCAACGGAUAAAAGUUACUCUAGGGAUAACAGGCUGAUCUCCCCCAAGAGUUCGUAUCGACGGGGAGGUUUGGCACCUCGAUGUCGGCUCAUCGCAACCUGGGGCUGUAGUCGGUCCCAAGGGUUGGGCUGUUCGCCCAUGAAAGCGGUACGUGAGCUGGGUUCAGAACGUCGUGAGACAGUUCGGUCCAUAUCCGGUAUAAGCGUAAGAGCAUUGAGAGGAGCUCGACAUUGUACGAGAGGACCCGAAGGGCGUACCGAUGGUCUACCAGUUCUUGUACCAACAGGAAACGCUGGGUAGCUAUGUACGAAGAGGAUAAUCGCUGAAAGCAUCUAA